RNAcentral lists this long non-coding RNA (1503 nucleotides) under Ananas comosus (pineapple). RNAcentral's name for it is "long non-coding RNA (ACOM_LNC019716)". The record is from RNAcentral. Lineage: Eukaryota; Viridiplantae; Streptophyta; Magnoliopsida; Poales; Bromeliaceae.
UCAUUUAGUACAUUCACCUCAAUAGAGUUUUCCCUUCAUUCACAGGGACCUACCCAAGGUAGUCCAGCUUGCGCCGCGCCUAAUGGUCCCGUGGUAGUAAACACUCCCCACGGCAAUCCACGUCGGCACCCAAUCCCGCACGGGCGAGCAACUGUCGCGUAGGCCAACUCCGGAGUGCCGGCUUGUAGGGAGCUACCCUCACAAGCGUGUGCGAAUGAGCACAAUGGCAAGCAAGCAAAGUCCACAGUCCAACAUGUCUCAAUUAUCAUGUUUUAGCUCACAAUAUUCUCGCUCUCGAUCCUUGGAUCGGAAUUUCAAUAUAAUAAAUAGUAACAACAACUAGAAUCCACUAGUUUAGUAAGCAUGCAAGAGUAAUGCUAAUUUAUAUAUAGCAUUAGAAUCUUUCCACUAUCAUGGAGGCAUAUAGCAUGUCAUUGUUCUCUACUUUAGAGUUCAGAGAAUGUCAUUGCUCUCACUCUAUAGGAACAUACUAAGAAUCAUUCAACUGAAUUAAACAUGAACAUAAAGACUUUAUGCAUGAACGUUCUCUACUUCAUAGAGAUUUAAUUCAAUUAUGUAUUAACACAAAGUACACAAUUAUGCCAAUUCUAUGGUACAUAUAGAACAUAGGGGAGCUCCACUUGCUCUGGUUAGGUCAAACCCACCUAUUACACAGCUCAAAACGGUCCAACAGAAGCUCUAAACUCAACUCAAACGGUCCCUGGACCUGCUGAAAACAAAACAUCAAACCGCAUCGAAGCAAUUACUUAAGAAUCCGAUUUCGGCUCCAAUCACACAUAGUAUGAAGUAAUAACUCAAUUCCCUGCUUCGACUAGCUUAAUACCUCAGGUUAAGCUUCCAAAAGGCCCUCCAAUGCCAGUCGAAGACAGUCCAAGGGUCAAUUACCCUCUCGCUGCGAACAAAAUCGAAACGACAUCAAUAUAGUCGAUUAUAAGCUAUACUAGUCAAAUUCUAGCAAUUUCAGCUUUCUAACUGAAAUUCUUGCUUACCUCAGGUUAGAACACCUUCUAAACCAGCCUCAAAAGGUACACGUUCAGCUCAAAGAAGCUCGAAGACCUGCUGCGAAAAAACAAUUUCCAAACUGCAUCAAUUUGAUCGGAUAACCCGCGUAUAGUCCGAAAUAGCUUCAUAAAUAGCAAAACAUCUCUAAUAAGCUUCAAAGUAGCUUAUCCCUGGUCUAAGGAGGUUCAUUCACAGCUAAUUAACUCAUAUUUAAUUGCUGAAAACUCAGUCUAGCACAGCCAAGAGCAAAAAUCCGAAAUCGCUACUCAAAUCGACGAAUAGAACGUCGGUAACGACAAAAGUGAGUCGAUUACCUUCUUAAGCUUCCAACCAGUGACCUGCUGAUCCAGGGCUGCGAAAACCUGUCCAAAACACUCCCUCACACGUCCACAAGGGCUCCACAACGCUCGCAACCAGCGAAGAACACGCGAUGCGACGGAAACGAGCGAAAUCGGCGACUUCUUUGUAGAGAGAGAAAAA